This is a long non-coding RNA of Pristis pectinata (smalltooth sawfish), 546 nucleotides long. RefSeq lists it as uncharacterized. The transcript has 3 exons. The record is from RefSeq and is a predicted model, not a curated record. NCBI's taxonomy places the organism in Eukaryota, Metazoa, Chordata, Chondrichthyes, Rhinopristiformes, Pristidae.
GUAAAUGGCAGGGCCCUGGGGAGUGUUGUAGAACAGGGAGACCUUGGGAUACAUCUCCAGUUGCCUGAAAGUGGGAACAGCAGAUGGAAGUGGGACUUCAAAAUCGGGUUAGCAAUUUGGCGAGCCAGCCAGGAGUCCAAGGCGAGGUUUUGGAAGUGGCGUGAGCGAUCGAUGGGAACGACGACUACCUGAGAUGGAAGGGCCCACAAGGUAAACUUCACCUUGAUCCUCUCGGGCAGCCGGACUCCUGACCGAUCCCUUUGCUUAUCGAAAACUCUCUGAUGGACUCCUCGCGAACCCAUCUGAGUGCCACAGGUGAAGAGCGCCUUUACACAGCAGGAGGGAAAGGAUGCAGAGUUGCCUAACCUGGAAUUUGCAGGGUCGGUGCUGAUACGGGACUGGGAACGACCUAAGCUGGGACCUCGGUGGAAAGGCCCCUCCAGAUACUACUGCAGAGGUGAAGGUACAGGGCCAGGAACGCUGGAUUCAUCUAAGUGUCUGUAAACGAUGGCCACCAGAGGGAAAAUGACGCUUCUUAAAUUUGGA